UUUAAAGAAAGCGUAAUAGCUCACUGGUCGAGUCGGCCUGCGCGGAAGAUGUAACGGGGCUAAACCAUGCACCGAAGCUGCGGCAGCGAACGUAUCACCCAAGACAACUUUACGGAGUUGACGAUUGACGGAGCGAAGCGACGUCAAAGCGUUCAUUAAAGUCGAGUUGGCUUAGGGAUACGUUCGUUGGGUAGGGGAGCGUUCUGUAAGCCUGUGAAGGUGUGUCGUGAGGCAUGCUGGAGGUAUCAGAAGUGCGAAUGCUGACAUAAGUAACGAUAAAGCGGGUGAAAAGCCCGCUCGCCGGAAGACCAAGGGUUCCUGUCCAACGUUAAUCGGGGCAGGGUGAGUCGACCCCUAAGGCGAGGCCGAAAGGCGUAGUCGAUGGGAAACGGGUUAAUAUUCCCGUACUUGGUGUUACUGCGAAGGGGGGACGGAGAAGGCUAUGUUGGCCGGGCGACGGUUGUCCCGGUUUAAGCGUGUAGGUGUGUGUUCCAGGUAAAUCCGGUUCACUUUAACACUGAGGCGUGACGACGAGGCACUACGGUGCUGAAGCAACAAAUGCCCUGCUUCCAGGAAAAGCCUCUAAGCAUCAGGUAACACGAAAUCGUACCCCAAACCGACACAGGUGGUCAGGUAGAGAAUACCAAGGCGCUUGAGAGAACUCGGGUGAAGGAACUAGGCAAAAUGGUGCCGUAACUUCGGGAGAAGGCACGCUGACACGUAGGUGAAGUGAUUUACUCAUGGAGCUGAAGUCAGUCGAAGAUACCAGCUGGCUGCAACUGUUUAUUAAAAACACAGCACUGUGCAAACACGAAAGUGGACGUAUACGGUGUGACGCCUGCCCGGUGCCGGAAGGUUAAUUGAUGGGGUCAGCGCAAGCGAAGCUCCUGAUCGAAGCCCCGGUAAACGGCGGCCGUAACUAUAACGGUCCUAAGGUAGCGAAAUUCCUUGUCGGGUAAGUUCCGACCUGCACGAAUGGCGUAAUGAUGGCCAGGCUGUCUCCACCCGAGACUCAGUGAAAUUGAACUCGCUGUGAAGAUGCAGUGUACCCGCGGCAAGACGGAAAGACCCCGUGAACCUUUACUAUAGCUUGACACUGAACAUUGAGCCUUGAUGUGUAGGAUAGGUGGGAGGCUUUGAAGUGUGGACGCCAGUCUGCAUGGAGCCGACCUUGAAAUACCACCCUUUAAUGUUUGAUGUUCUAACGUGGACCCGUAAUCCGGGUUGCGGACAGUGUCUGGUGGGUAGUUUGACUGGGGCGGUCUCCUCCUAAAGAGUAACGGAGGAGCACGAAGGUUGGCUAAUCCUGGUCGGACAUCAGGAGGUUAGUGCAAUGGCAUAAGCCAGCUUGACUGCGAGCGUGACGGCGCGAGCAGGUGCGAAAGCAGGUCAUAGUGAUCCGGUGGUUCUGAAUGGAAGGGCCAUCGCUCAACGGAUAAAAGGUACUCCGGGGAUAACAGGCUGAUACCGCCCAAGAGUUCAUAUCGACGGCGGUGUUUGGCACCUCGAUGUCGGCUCAUCACAUCCUGGGGCUGAAGUAGGUCCCAAGGGUAUGGCUGUUCGCCAUUUAAAGUGGUACGCGAGCUGGGUUUAGAACGUCGUGAGACAGUUCGGUCCCUAUCUGCCGUGGGCGCUGGAGAACUGAGGGGGGCUGCUCCUAGUACGAGAGGACCGGAGUGGACGCAUCACUGGUGUUCGGGUUGUCAUGCCAAUGGCACUGCCCGGUAGCUAAAUGCGGAAGAGAUAAGUGCUGAAAGCAUCUAAGCACGAAACUUGCCCCGAGAUGAGUUCUCCCUGAGACUUAGAGUCUCCUGAAGGAACGUUGAAGACGACGACGUUGAUAGGCCGGGUGUGUAAGCGCAGCGAUGCGUUGAGCUAACCGGUACUAAUGAACCGUGAGGCUUAACCUU
Molecule: ribosomal RNA, 1910 nt
Filed under: Salmonella enterica subsp. enterica serovar Typhimurium str. DT104
Lineage: Bacteria; Pseudomonadati; Pseudomonadota; Gammaproteobacteria; Enterobacterales; Enterobacteriaceae
Description: bacterial LSU rRNA
Rfam family: Bacterial large subunit ribosomal RNA
Source: RNAcentral